UACGGGGGGGGCAAGCGUUGUUCGGAAUUACUGGGCGUAAAGGGCUCGUAGGCGGCCAACUAAGUCAGACGUGAAAUCCCUCGGCUUAACCGGGGAACUGCGUCUGAUACUGGAUGGCUUGAAUCCGGGAGAGGGAUGCGGAAUUCCAGGUGUAGCGGUGAAAUGCGUAGAUAUCUGGAGGAACACCGGUGGCGAAGGCGGCAUCCUGGACCGGCAUUGACGCUGAACGGCGAAAGCUAGGGGAGCAAACGGG
RNAcentral lists this ribosomal RNA (253 nucleotides) under uncultured bacterium. Its description in RNAcentral is "partial 16S ribosomal RNA". It matches the Rfam family "Bacterial small subunit ribosomal RNA", at positions 524 to 776 of the family's 1533-position model. The record is from RNAcentral.